GCCAGAAUGAAGGUUUACAUGUGCCUGCUUCUCCUGAUGGUCGUUGGAUGUGCCUUGUGUUUUGCAGAGAACUUUCUUGCCGAGAAGUUGAUGCAAGAACUGGAAUCUCGCGGGAUACUGACCUUCAAGAUUUCUUGCACAACUGAUGCCGAAUGUGAUCCAAUGUAUUGUUCUAAACCUCCCGGUCACGAUCAGGGCUUUUGCUGGUGGGUGGGAAAAGGACGCUAGGAAUUCUGACAAUCAACAUGAAUGAAUUAAACCAUGAUCGUCAGUGGUUAACCGACAGCAAGGCUUUAUUCUGAUUCAAUAAAAAGAUUUGACAUUAAUUCAUUUUUCUUCUUUCCUGGUAAGAUUGUCUCAUUUUUGUUAACAAUACUGGGUCCGUGUUCCAGCCAGUUUUUUUCCAUUGAUUCCGUGACAGUGCUGUUCACGUCUGAAGUCUGCUCAAUGUGAAUUUAAAGAGUGAUACUGAAAUCAAAAUGAAACAAAAAAUAUCUUUAUUCGAUCCGUCAAUACAGACAUAUAUUAACCGAUCGGCACAUUUGAAUUGUUUACAGAACUUAUAAAAGUCUACACUCUUCUCGUCAUUUAAAUGACACAAAUUAUGAGCUCGAGCACGGACUUAAUAAUUAUUUUCAUGUGAUGUGUUUUAAAAAAAAUCUAUGUUCGUUAUCUUAGUUUGUUCAUGUCUGUAAUGUUUUUGUUCUUUUGGGGUGCGUGGUUGUCAUUAUCUGUGAUGAUAGGUAAAAUCCACUUUUAAAAUAUCCAUGAAUAUUAAUCCUGCAUGUAUCGUUGAAGCAGCGCUUGGAUAUGGGAACAUUUUAUGCAUCCUAGGAUAUUUUGUUUGUGUGUAAAGGCUGCUCACUCUGAAUUUAAAGAGCACUUUUGAUAUCAAAAUGAAACGAAAAUAUAUAUAAUCGAUCCGUGAAUACCGACAUAUAUUAAACGAUCGGCACAUUUGAUUUU
This 966-nucleotide long non-coding RNA is filed under the name Patiria miniata (bat star). RNAcentral describes it as "uncharacterized LOC119743413". The record is from RNAcentral. Lineage: Eukaryota; Metazoa; Echinodermata; Asteroidea; Valvatida; Asterinidae.